AUCUGAUAGUAGACAUCGCCCCCCAGUCUGGAGGUUGCAGAUCUACGACUGAUCCUAACUUGGAAGAGCAAUGAAGAAAUCCAUUCAAGCUGUAUUCAUGUUCUUGUGGCUGCCGCUGGACUGGGUGAGCCGUGGAGAAAAUGUGGAGCAGCGUCCUUCUACUCUGCGUGUCCUGGAGGGAGACAGCUCUGUCAUCAACUGUUCUUAUUCUGACAGUGCCUCAGACUACUUCCCCUGGUAUAAGCAAGAACCUGGAAAAGGUCCCCAGCUCAUUAUAGAUAUUCGUGCAAAUAAGGACAAAAACCACGACCAAAGACUCACUGUUUUUUUAGAUAAGGCAAAGAAACACUUCUCCCUGCACAUCGCGGCCACCCAACCUGGAGACUCAGCCAUUUACUUCUGCGCAGCAAGGGCACAGUGCUUCCCGGGCACCUGCUGCCUGCACCCAAACCCAAGGCUGCAACUGAAGCCCCACCCCUUCCCUCUGUACAGGUCUUCAAAUGCAGCAUUUGUCAUAGUGUUUCUUUGCAAGUUGGAAACUAACAUAUGGGGUGAACAGCAUAAUGUUUUGAUACACAUGUACAAAUUUCACAAACCAAAAAAUCGACAGCUGGAUGAGCAGGCUAUGAGGAAGGAGGCAGGGAGCUUCCACACUGUCUCCAGGGAUGCUACCGUCAGGCAUCGGCAUGUGUUGAAGCUGCACUGA
Molecule: non-coding RNA, 706 nt
Organism: Tupaia belangeri chinensis (Chinese tree shrew)
Lineage: Eukaryota; Metazoa; Chordata; Mammalia; Scandentia; Tupaiidae
Source: the annotation of a RefSeq genome assembly